UACGGGGGGGGGAAGCGUUGUUCGGAAUUACUGGGCGUAAAGGGCUCGUAGGCGGCCAACUAAGUCGGACGUGAAAUCCCUCAGCUUAACUGGGGAACUGCGUCCGAUACUGGAUGGCUUGGAUUUGGGAGAGGGAUGCGGAAUUCCAGGUGUAGCGGUGAAAUGCGUAGAUAUCUGGAGGAACACCGGUGGCGAAGGCGGCAUCCUGGACCAACAUUGACGCUGAGGAGCGAAAGCUAGGGGAGCAAACGGG
This 253-nucleotide ribosomal RNA is filed under the name uncultured bacterium. Its description in RNAcentral is "partial 16S ribosomal RNA". It matches the Rfam family "Bacterial small subunit ribosomal RNA", at positions 524 to 776 of the family's 1533-position model. The record is from RNAcentral.